RNAcentral lists this ribosomal RNA (253 nucleotides) under uncultured bacterium. Its description in RNAcentral is "partial 16S ribosomal RNA". It matches the Rfam family "Bacterial small subunit ribosomal RNA", at positions 524 to 776 of the family's 1533-position model. The record is from RNAcentral.
UACGUAGGGGGCUAGCGUUGUUCGGAAUUACUGGGCGUAAAGGGCGCGUAGGCGGUCCCUCAAGUCAGGCGUGAAAGCCCCGGGCUCAACCUGGGAACCGCGCUUGAGACUGAUGGGCUAGAGUUCGGGAGAGGAUGGUGGAAUUCCCAGUGUAGAGGUGAAAUUCGUAGAUAUUGGGAAGAACACCGAUGGCGAAGGCAGCCAUCUGGACCGACACUGACGCUGAGGCGCGAAAGCGUGGGGAGCAAACAGG